UCCUCUGUUUGUUUCUUCAUUUUCUACUGGAAUUCGAAUUAUGGGAUGAUGGACCAUUAUAACCAGUAGUAGUCUUGGUGUUUUCUCUGGACUGUGACCUUUUCUUAGGUCUCUGGUUUUUGCAGGAGGCCUUUUAAGCUCUUUUCCAAUGAAAAAUUUAGAGAGAGACAGAGAGGUGAUUAGAAGGCCUUUUAAGCUCUUUCCCAAUGAAACAUUUAGAGAGACAGGAAGAGAGGUGAUUUGGCUGAGCGGAAAUGGGACGUUCUCUUAAGAGGAAGGCGUAAACUGGGGAGAGAAGAGAAUUGUAUACUCUGAAAAGAGAGGAUCUAGGGCAAUGGAUUACAGGAAGAGGGUGGAGAGAGAAGGUGAUACAAAUCUGAUGAAACAACUUUGGACCUAGAAAGAAGUUAGAGAGAGAAAGAAAGGGCAAAAAAAAGAGCGAUUAGGAAAAGGACAAAGGAUACCAGGGCUCCCUAUCCCUGAGUUUAUUUUGUCAGGUACCAUUAAGAAUCCACACCGUCCAUAUAGAUGAAAGGUGCCAG
RNAcentral lists this long non-coding RNA (542 nucleotides) under Amborella trichopoda. RNAcentral describes it as "long non-coding RNA (ATRI_LNC003964)". The record is from RNAcentral. Lineage: Eukaryota; Viridiplantae; Streptophyta; Magnoliopsida; Amborellales; Amborellaceae.